This 237-nucleotide long non-coding RNA is filed under the name Oryza sativa Indica Group (long-grained rice). Its description in RNAcentral is "lncRNA OsMH63_11G008270". Lineage: Eukaryota; Viridiplantae; Streptophyta; Magnoliopsida; Poales; Poaceae. The record is from RNAcentral.
AGAAUCCUCACCAAGCCACCAGCAGCUAAAGGGGGCCGGCUCGGCUGCCACAGCUCAAACGGCACUCCCACAAGCAACAACAACCUCCUCUCCUGCAUAUCCCUUCCAUCACCAUCUUUGCAUAUCAUCUCUACAGAUUGGAAGAAGGGAAGUGAAGCAGAGAUUGGGAAGAGCAGGUUUGGUCAAGAAGGAAGAACAGAGUGGGAGUUUCAGGAGAAGCUGAGAGGACAACACUGA